This 695-nucleotide long non-coding RNA is filed under the name Ananas comosus (pineapple). RNAcentral's name for it is "long non-coding RNA (ACOM_LNC032959)". Lineage: Eukaryota; Viridiplantae; Streptophyta; Magnoliopsida; Poales; Bromeliaceae. The record is from RNAcentral.
AGCGUUUGGUAUGGGAUAAGGAUAGGAAUAGACCCUUAUUCCCUCCUUUAUAUCCAAACGCUAAUUUUUUAUCCGAAAAUAGUAGUUCUCGGUUAUCCCCACCAACACUUCGAUUUUCUAUAUAAAACUAUCUAAAAUUGUUCGAAUCUCCAGAAACAAUCCAAUUUUCAUCCAAACGCUAUUUUUUUUAUCCCCGUACUUGUACCUAUUCCUGUAAUAGUUAAUUCUUGUUUAUAUCGGAAUCAAACGGUGCCUUAGCCUCCGUUUGGUUGGGGUUAAGGGGUGGAAUAACCCCUUAACCCCCAUUUUAUCCCCAAACACUUCUAAAAAGGGGUGGGGUUAGCUAACCCCAGCUAACCCCACCUCAAAUAGAUUAUUCCGGGUUAGCUAACCCCACCUAACCCCACCAAACUCCAACCAAACACUAUUUUCUAUUCAUAAUAACCCACUAUCCUUCUUAUUCCACCUACUUCAACCAAACACUAUUUUUUACUAUCCUGGACUAACUCCAACCCCCAACCAAACACAAAAAUACUCUAACCCCACCUUAACCUUAAAUUUAACUCUAUUUCUGGAAUAACUAAUUUUUUCUUAACUCCGAACCAAACGGUAGCUUAGAGAAUAGUGAUCUCUUGGUCCAGAAAGAAAAUGAAAAAAAGGUGAAAGUUAAUUUUUUUUGAGUUUGAUCAUAAGUA